This 406-nucleotide ribosomal RNA is filed under the name uncultured Coriobacteriaceae bacterium. RNAcentral describes it as "bacterial SSU rRNA". It matches the Rfam family "Bacterial small subunit ribosomal RNA", at positions 971 to 1382 of the family's 1533-position model. Lineage: Bacteria; Bacillati; Actinomycetota; Coriobacteriia; Coriobacteriales; Coriobacteriaceae. The record is from RNAcentral.
UUACCAAGGCUUGAAAUGCAAGUGAGCGGUGGAAACGCCGUGGCGAAAGGAGCUUGCACAGGUGGUGCAUUGGCUGUCGUCAGCUCGUGUCGUGAGAUGUUGGGUUAAGUCCCGCAACGAGCGCAACCCCUGUCCUAUGUUGCCAGCAUUAAGUUGGGGACUCAUGGGAGACUGCCGGCGUCAAGCCGGAGGAAGGUGGGGAUGACGUCAAGUCAUCAUGCCCCUUAUGUCUUGGGCUGCACACGUGCUACAAUGGCCGGUACAAUGGGCUGCGAUGGGGUGACCCGGAGCGAAUCCCACAAAACCGGCCCCAGUUCGGAUCGAAGGCUGCAACUCGCCUUCGUGAAGUCGGAGUUGCUAGUAAUCGCGGAUCAGCAUGCCGCGGUCGAAUACGUUCCCGGGCCUU